Molecule: long non-coding RNA, 519 nt
Filed under: Homo sapiens (human)
Lineage: Eukaryota; Metazoa; Chordata; Mammalia; Primates; Hominidae
Description: HSALNT0328814
Source: RNAcentral
UGACCGUUAAAUUCAGUGGAAAUUCUAUUGUGCCAGUUUGGGGCCUAGACUUUAACAAAACUAGCAGUUUCUGCUUUCUUCCUCUUGGAACCCAGCCCCUGUGCUGUGAGGAAGCCCAAGCAACCUCGUGGAAAAGUCCAUAGGAAGAAGAAUCAAGGCCUGUAGACAGCAGCGCCAACUGAGCUACCAGCUGGCAGCCAUCAACAAUUUGUUUGCCACUGAAGACAAGAACUUGAUGAUUCAUAAAGCUUUGUGAAGUGUGGUUACUGCAAGACUUGGAGUAGUUUGAAAGAAACUUGUGACUUCUAAAAGCAGCUGAGAGAAAGGAGGAAAUAGCUAAUGCAACAAGCCUUCCUCUCACAAAAGGAAGCCAUUUACAUAACUCUGAGCUUCUGAAGGAAGACACAAAGUGAGAUGAAUGAAUUUAAAAUUUCCUCAACUUGCUGUCAAGAAAGGAGCUGGAAGCAAAGCCAAGGAUCUCAGUUUUCAUUCCUGUUUAUACUUCUGGCUUAUUAAAAC